AUGAACGCUGGCGGCGUGCUUAACACAUGCAAGUCGAACGAGAAAUGAUAUUACGAUCUCUUCGGAGUGAUGAUUUUAUUUCGAGUGGCGGACGGGUGAGUAACGCGUGAGCAACCUGCCCUAUACCGGGGGAUACCAGUUGGAAACGACUGUUAAUACCGCAUAAGCGCACGAUAAGACAUCUUGUUGUGUGAAAAACUCCGGUGGUAUAGGAUGGGCUCGCGUAUGAUUAGCCAGUUGGCGGGGUAAAGGCCCACCAAAGCGACGAUCAUUAGCCGACCUGAGAGGGCGACCGGCCACAUUGGGACUGAGACACGGCCCAAACUCCUACGGGAGGCAGCAGUGGGGAAUAUUGCACAAUGGGCGAAAGCCUGAUGCAGCGACGCCGCGUGAGUGAGGAAGUAUUUCGGUAUGUAAAGCUCUAUCAGCAGGGAAGAAAGA
Molecule: ribosomal RNA, 441 nt
Filed under: Shuttleworthella satelles
Lineage: Bacteria; Bacillati; Bacillota; Clostridia; Lachnospirales; Lachnospiraceae
Description: bacterial SSU rRNA
Rfam family: Bacterial small subunit ribosomal RNA
Source: RNAcentral